RNAcentral lists this ribosomal RNA (253 nucleotides) under uncultured bacterium. RNAcentral describes it as "partial 16S ribosomal RNA". It matches the Rfam family "Bacterial small subunit ribosomal RNA", at positions 524 to 776 of the family's 1533-position model. The record is from RNAcentral.
UACGUAGGGGGCAAGCGUUGUCCGGAAUCAUUGGGCGUAAAGCGCGUGUAGGCGGCUCGAUAAGUCCGCUCUGAAAGUCCAGGGCUCAACCCUGGGAUGCGGGUGGAUACUGUCGGGCUCGAGUCCGGAAGAGGCGAGUGGAGUUCCUGGUGUAGCGGUGAAAUGCGCAGAUAUCAGGAGGAACACCAAUGGCGAAGGCAGCUCGCUGGGACGUGACUGACGCUGAGACGCGAAAGCGUGGGGAGCAAACAGG